UAAAAGUCGUAACAAGGUCUCCGUAGGUGAACCUGCGGAGGGAUCAUUACAGAGUUCAUGCCCUCCGGGUAGAUCUCCCACCCAUUGCUAUAACUACUCUCGUUGCUUUGGCGGGCCGCUGGGCCCUGCCCGGCCGCCGGCCCCGGCUGGCGCGUGCCCGCCAGAGACCUCACAGACUCUGAAUGUUAGUGUCGUCCGAGUAACUAUAUAAUCGUUAAAACUUUCAACAACGGAUCUCUUGGUUCUGGCAUCGAUGAAGAACGCAGCGAAAUGCGAUAAGUAAUGCGAAUUGCAGAAUUCAGUGAGUCAUCGAAUCUUUGAACGCACAUUGCGCCCUGUGGUAUUCCGCAGGGCAUGCCUGUUCGAGCGUCAUUUCAACCCUCAAGCCUCGCUUGGUGUUGGGCCCUGCCCGCCGCGGCCGGCCCUAAAGACAGUGGCGGCGCCGCCUGGCCCUCAGCGUAGUACAUCUCUCGCUCCAGGGUCCGGCGGCAGCCUGCCAGAAUCCCCCCAACUCUGUGGUUGACCUCGGAUCAGGUAGGGAUACCCGCUGAACUUAAGCAUAUCAAUAAGCGGAGG
This 576-nucleotide ribosomal RNA is filed under the name uncultured fungus. RNAcentral's name for it is "eukaryotic LSU rRNA". The stretch from base 219 to 372 matches the Rfam family "5.8S ribosomal RNA". The record is from RNAcentral. Lineage: Eukaryota; Fungi.